Mauremys reevesii (Reeves's turtle) is the source of this 357-nucleotide long non-coding RNA. RefSeq lists it as uncharacterized. The record is from RefSeq and is a predicted model, not a curated record. NCBI's taxonomy places the organism in Eukaryota, Metazoa, Chordata, Testudines, Geoemydidae. The transcript has 3 exons.
GCACAGAUGGUGUCAAUGAGAGAGCUUGUUUCCUUGACUGGGGGAUGCUGCUCUGGGGAGGAGAGCUGCUGGGAAGACAGGGAGUCUACCUUUCAUCUUCAUGCACGAACUCACAUGAAGGAGGGCUUUAAAUGAUAUUCAGAGAGGUCCGGUGACAAAAGCCAACAGCUCAAGUGGCAGAGGUCUGUGCAGUGGAAUUAAAGGAUCCAACCCUGCUGAUGCCGAUGUUGAUAAGAUGCCAUCUAAUGGACUAGAACUCCUAUGGAAAACAUGAUUCAGUGCUUGUGCAUGGGGAAGUAUUUCCUAUUACAAGCACCCAGGGAAGUAAUCACAGAUUACUGGAGCCUUGAGCUGGUG